AGGGUUUCUUCAAGAAUCAUCCCUGAGCUCAAUUCGACCCAUUGAAGAAGAGUUCGAUGGAGUAUUUUGAGAUCAAGAGCUUCGAUAAGUCUCAGAGGUUUAACGUGUCUCAAUCCUAACAUGCAUCUUCUUGAAAAUUCUUCGAACCCCCGCGAUCUGACUGUCGUACUGAGGGGCUGUUUGGUUCACUGCGGCUGUUAUCGCUGCAACACGAGAUGCAUGCAAGUGCAAUUGCUGUAACUACGCUGCAUGCAAGUUAUUUUUCUGACUUCUGUGGGAGAUCUAGGUGCAACUUACAACCCAAUUGCAUCUAAGAAAGGCUGUGACUGCACCUUACGUGAGGAACUGUGUAAGUCGUUAACUACAGUUCGAGUUUUUUUUGGCAAUUUCAGUUGCAAGUUUAUUAGAUACAGUGAGACAAACACCUGCAGCUGACCAGGGCCAAAAAU
Asparagus officinalis (garden asparagus) is the source of this 449-nucleotide long non-coding RNA. RefSeq lists it as uncharacterized. NCBI's taxonomy places the organism in Eukaryota, Viridiplantae, Streptophyta, Magnoliopsida, Asparagales, Asparagaceae. The transcript has 3 exons. The record is from RefSeq and is a predicted model, not a curated record.